RNAcentral lists this unclassified non-coding RNA (228 nucleotides) under Zea mays. RNAcentral describes it as "misc RNA Zm00001eb355830". Lineage: Eukaryota; Viridiplantae; Streptophyta; Magnoliopsida; Poales; Poaceae. The record is from RNAcentral.
UUGGAGCUCCUUCGCCGGCGAGUUCUCCCCGCCGCUGCUUGGAGCUCCCUCGCCGGUGAAUUCUCCCGCCACUACUUCUCCAUAGCUAAGAUCUGUCCGGACCCUGAGACGCCGCCGUCGUCCCGUGGAGCGGAGCCACACGUUGUCCUUCCUUCGCCCCGCCCUUCUCGGUCGCGGCUGGUUGCCUGUUCCCUCUCCGCGCCAUACGGCCAUACCCAGAGCAAGUAG